RNAcentral lists this ribosomal RNA (759 nucleotides) under uncultured bacterium. RNAcentral describes it as "bacterial SSU rRNA". It matches the Rfam family "Bacterial small subunit ribosomal RNA", at positions 59 to 829 of the family's 1533-position model. The record is from RNAcentral.
CAGUCGAACGGACUCAUACUGAAACCUAGUGAUCUAUGAGUUAGUGGCGGACGGGUGAGUAACGCGUGGAUAACCUGCCGUAUACCGGGGGAUAACACUUAGAAAUAGGUGCUAAUACCGCAUGAGCGCACAGCUCCGCAUGGAGCGGUGUGAAAAACUCCGGUGGUAUACGAUGGAUCCGCGUCUGAUUAGCCAGUUGGCGGGGUAACGGCCCACCAAAGCGACGAUCAGUAGCCGGCCUGAGAGGGUGAACGGCCACAUUGGGACUGAGACACGGCCCAGACUCCUACGGGAGGCAGCAGUGGGGAAUAUUGCACAAUGGGGGAAACCCUGAUGCAGCGACGCCGCGUGAGUGAAGAAGUAUCUCGGUAUGUAAAGCUCUAUCAGCAGGAAAGAUAAUGACGGUACCUGACUAAGAAGCCCCGGCUAACUACGUGCCAGCAGCCGCGGUAAUACGUAGGGGGCAAGCGUUAUCCGGAUUUACUGGGUGUAAAGGGAGCGUAGACGGCAGCGCAAGUCUGGAGUGAAAUGCCGGGGCCCAACCCCGGAACUGCUUUGGAAACUGUGCGGCUCGAGUGCGGGAGAGGUAGGCGGAAUUCCUAGUGUAGCGGUGAAAUGCGUAGAUAUUAGGAGGAACACCAGUGGCGAAGGCGGCUUACUGGACCGUAACUGACGUUGAGGCUCGAAAGCGUGNGGAGCAAACAGGAUUAGAUACCCUNGUAGUCCACGCCGUAAACGAUGAUUACUAGGUGUCGGGGG